Molecule: transfer RNA, 85 nt
Filed under: Clostridia bacterium
Lineage: Bacteria; Bacillati; Bacillota; Clostridia
Also listed under: 2 other names
Description: tRNA-Leu
Rfam family: tRNA
About the family: Transfer RNA (tRNA) molecules are approximately 80 nucleotides in length. Their secondary structure includes four short double-helical elements and three loops (D, anti-codon, and T loops).
Source: RNAcentral
GCCGCUGUGAUGGAAUUGGCAGACAUAACAGACUUAAAAUCUGUCGGGUUCUUAACCCGUACCGGUUCGAGUCCGGUUAGCGGCA